AGUUAAUGUAGCAAAACUUGGCCUUGCAAAAGAUCUAAGCCCUUUCCAUGGGGGCUCAAAUCCCCCCAUUAACU
RNAcentral lists this transfer RNA (74 nucleotides) under Smilisca puma (Nicaragua cross-banded treefrog). RNAcentral describes it as "tRNA-Leu". It matches the Rfam family "tRNA". Rfam says of the family: Transfer RNA (tRNA) molecules are approximately 80 nucleotides in length. Their secondary structure includes four short double-helical elements and three loops (D, anti-codon, and T loops). The record is from RNAcentral. Lineage: Eukaryota; Metazoa; Chordata; Amphibia; Anura; Hylidae.